Molecule: ribosomal RNA, 326 nt
Filed under: uncultured eukaryote
Lineage: Eukaryota
Description: partial 18S ribosomal RNA
Rfam family: Eukaryotic small subunit ribosomal RNA
Source: RNAcentral
CCCUUAGAUGUCCUGGGCCGCACGCGCGCUACACUGACACACGCAACGAGUUUUGCUUGUCCGAAAGGUCUGGCUAAUCUUUUAAAUGUGUGUCGUGAUAGGGAUAGAUUAUUGCAAUUAUUAAUCUUGAACGAGGAAUUCCUAGUAAACGCAAGUCAUCAGCUUGCAUUGAUUACGUCCCUGCCCUUUGUACACACCGCCCGUCGCACCUACCGAUUGGAUGGUCCGAUGAGAUCUCCGGACUCGCGCUUGCAAGGCGGCAACGUCGCGCAGGAGCGGGGAAGUUGAUCAAAUCUUACCAUCUAGAGGAAGGUGAANUCGUAACA